UGGGGAAUAUUGCACAAUGGGCGCAAGCCUGAUGCAGCCAUGCCGCGUGUAUGAAGAAGGCCUUCGGGUUGUAAAGUACUUUCAGCGAGGAGGAAGGCGCUGUGGUUAAUAACCGCAACGAUUGACGUUACUCGCAGAAGAAGCACCGGCUAACUCCGUGCCAGCAGCCGCGGUAAUACGGAGGGUGCAAGCGUUAAUCGGAAUUACUGGGCGUAAAGCGCACGCAGGCGGUCUGUCAAGUCGGAUGUGAAAUCCCCGGGCUCAACCUGGGAACUGCAUCCGAAACUGGCAGGCUAGAGUCUUGUAGAGGGGGGUAGAAUUCCAGGUGUAGCGGUGAAAUGCGUAGAGAUCUGGAGGAAUACCGGUGGCGAAGGCGGCCCCCUGGACAAAGACUGACGCUCAGGUGCGAAAGCGUGGGGAGCAAACA
This 427-nucleotide ribosomal RNA is filed under the name uncultured bacterium. Its description in RNAcentral is "partial 16S ribosomal RNA". It matches the Rfam family "Bacterial small subunit ribosomal RNA", at positions 355 to 774 of the family's 1533-position model. The record is from RNAcentral.